UGGAUAACGUUUUCACAAAAA
This 21-nucleotide non-coding RNA is filed under the name Caenorhabditis elegans. Lineage: Eukaryota; Metazoa; Nematoda; Chromadorea; Rhabditida; Rhabditidae. The record is from RNAcentral.